This 116-nucleotide ribosomal RNA is filed under the name Mesobacillus zeae. Lineage: Bacteria; Bacillati; Bacillota; Bacilli; Caryophanales; Bacillaceae. RNAcentral also lists the same sequence under 1 other name. The record is from RNAcentral.
UCUGGCGGCGAUAGCGAGAAGGCCACACCCGUUCCCAUACCGAACACGGAAGUUAAGCUUCUCAGCGCCGAUGGUAGUUGGGGGUUUCCCCCUGUGAGAGUAGGACGCUGCCAGGC